This 68-nucleotide transfer RNA is filed under the name Bos taurus (domestic cattle). It matches the Rfam family "tRNA". Rfam says of the family: Transfer RNA (tRNA) molecules are approximately 80 nucleotides in length. Their secondary structure includes four short double-helical elements and three loops (D, anti-codon, and T loops). Lineage: Eukaryota; Metazoa; Chordata; Mammalia; Artiodactyla; Bovidae. RNAcentral also lists the same sequence under 5 other names. The record is from Rfam by way of RNAcentral.
CCUGGUGGCUUAGUGGUAAAGAAUCUGCCUGCCAUGCAGGAGGUGCAGGUUCCACCUCUGCGUCAGGA